GUAAAAUCUAUUCUAAACAUAGUUUACAAAGAGGGCAAGAGGCAACCGCCCACCCUUGUCCUAGGCCCAGCCAACCUAUUGGACCUAUUCAACAACAGUAAUUAGAGCCCAAAAAUCUCCACACAACAGGCCUAAAUUACUCAAUUUCGGUGGUCCAAAAACUGGUGUAAAACAAAUCAUGCGGGAAUUUGGUUUCUUUCCUUCAACUUCAGUUGCAGCAACUUUGGAUGGUGAAACCUUGUUAUUCAUGCACUUGCAUGACCAUGGCUUCUUAUAGCCCUUUCUCAAAGUCUCCUACCGUUUCUGCUUCUCUAUCCGCUUAUCCAAAACUGAUCCCCACUGCGAAUUCUUCAUGUUUCCUUCCUUCUUUCUCUGCUGUCCGAUCUCGCUUUUUCUGUGCACGAUGAAUGGCUCAGGUGAAUUCUGGCUCUGUUCUUGUAAGGUUAUUUCGCUAUCUGAAAACAAUUACCUAAGCUGCUUUUUCAUUUGGAUUAACGAGAAACUCUUGGGUCCUCUUCAGUCUUGACUUUUUUGAGUGUUGAGACUUGAGACAGAGAUUUUCUAUUGGGAAUUUUUACAAACACCUGGCGUGAGAGUUCAUGGGUUUUAAUGAUAUGAACAGAGUUUUGAGAGUCUAGGCUCUAUUUUAAAAUGAAUGCACUUGAAGCUUGGUCAAUUCUGUGUGUAGAGCAAGGUGAUAUUUAAGCUGCAGUGUGUUAUUUCUAUACUCGAACUUGAUAAGCCAGAAGGGAGAAGGGAACCGGAGAAACACGCAAAUGGUGUCUUCUGGAUUAUGCUUCUCAAUCUUGGAAUAUAUCUUCCUGAUCACUUUUUUCAGGUACUUUAACUAUCUUGCUUUCAUGCUAUUGAUUCCAUGCUAUUGAAUGUUCUGCUGACUAAAUUGACGAUUUGUUUUUCACACCUAAUCCAUCUUAUAUGGAAAUUGAAGUUGCAGAACAAGAAUUAGAGAAACCACAGAAAUCAUUUAAGCCACAUAGUUAACGAGUAGUUCUGUUUCAUUUUUUAUAUAAUAACGUCUGCACUUACAUAUGUUGAUUUGAGAUUUUUUGUAGAGACUUGGAAGUUGUUUUGAGGCUGAAUUUUUGUGGCCAUAUGGAAACUAUUUCUGAGGGUCUCCAGAAGUGCAAGUCAAUAAUAGAGUUUCUGUUUUUCCUUUUUUGCACAGGUCGCGUUGCAUCAAAUCUCUGAAUAUGUUUCACAAUUGGCCUUCUUGAUACCUGUUUGUGACAGCAACAUUCUUCCAUGCUAGCUGGUGAGGUCUUCAUGCUGUUGAAAGGGAAACUUGUUGAAGAAGAGGGGAAUUUUACAUUGUGGCUUUCGUAUAUUCUGACAGUUGUUGGAGCAAACCUUGUUUCACAGUUAGUUUUACUGAGAAAUGCAGUUUCUGUAUGAGCUUCUUGUGCUGUUUUUGGAUUAUUUGUGAUCAGUGUCCUUGUAAAGGUAACUAAUGUUUUGAAAUGCACAUGUCUAUUUGAAAUUAAAAUGCAUCAUGCAUGAACUUUCUAACCUCCUUUUCUUUAUUGUCGAUAACAUGGAACUUGAAAAAGAUCCUUGAAGUGCUUAUAUUAGGCCAGUUUGUUAGAGAUGGUGAGCACUUCCCGUACCUUUACAAAUUAGAAUUUCCAUAUGAAUUACAAAUUAUAAGAAACAAGCAAGUACCAGGGAGUUGACAAAGUGUAUGCUGAGAAUUGUUCUUCCCACGAAAGAUGGAUGCGAGGGGAAGUAAAAUGUGUGCAUUGUUCAAUCUGAGCUUUAUUACAAGUGCUGAUAGCUCCUUUGAGAAGACAUGAAGUUGAGCCUUUGGCCAUGGUUGAUGUUCCUAAAACUAAAACAGUCAUUUAAUUAAACUGAUUAUCACCACUGACUUUCAAACUGACUUCAAACGCAUGCAUUCUUAGGUUUGUUUGGUGGAGAUUUAACUUAAACAUCUUAUGUUACAAGUAAUGGAGGCAGCCCAAGCUUCAGCAACAUUUUUAGGCACUUUUCAUGGAGGCUACCCUAUUCAGAGUGUCAAUCAUAUUGCACAUCUAUCUGAUGCUCUUACUGUUGUGGUUUUGGUAUGGCAUAUCUCAGACCGUGAAGCAUCAACAUUUCAUGGAAAAUCAAGCAAAAGUUGAUAAGAAAUUUCCAAGAUGUGUAUCCCAUAAAUGUGUAUAAAUAGAAGGAUUUCAUUACAUAAUUCCUUUCUUAUGAUGAUUUCUAUCUGUUGGAGAUUUGUGAAUGUCAUGGAUAUUUUUCUAUGUAUGCAUUUGCUAGUGAUGCAUCAGAGUCUGAUGUAAUUAUAAGCCAUAGUCAUGGCCGAGGUAUUCAUGUUGAUAUGAAAUGUAAAUGUUAUGAGGUUAUAAACCAUUUAGCUAUGCAACUCCAGCUCAUGCCGCUUAAAUGGAUAUGAAAGGGAGGGAGAAACACAAAUUGUCUGGCAGCAAGUUUUUGGUUUUCCUUUCCUCAAAUAACUAAAAAUUAACAGCAAAUACAAAAUAAAAAUUUGACUUGCAUUAUCAUUGAGCCUGGAAAGGCAACAAUUCUCAGAAAUCAUGAACUCCCUGUACUAUCUACAGCAUAUAUAAUGACAAAUUUCUUUUCAGUAAGGAAUGUGAACAAAGUUACACCAUAAAAAGUAAAAAAAGAAAAGAAAGGACAAUUUCUUUUCCUUUCAGUUCAAGAACACUGCUGUACCUGAUUGUGCAAGCUGACCAUACAUACCAUGCUGCCCUUGGUACUGCUUAUGGCAAAUGAUUGGUGACCUUGCUCCAAAUUUACAAGUAUGAGAGAUACACAUGGAUUUCGUAGCAAGCCAAGAGUAUGCCAUUGAAAAGUCAGCAUCUCUCAGCACCAUUCUACCUUUUCUAAGGGCUGCAGUAGACCCUCUCUGAUCACUUGUAACAGUACUCGGUAUCCGUAAGAGAUUGGAAUGUGAGACACCAGAGUUUUGCUUUUCGUAGACUUUCUCUAGGCUGUCAACCGGUAUGUCUUCUUCAGCUGUAUCUUUAUUACUGGUCAUUUCCUUUCUUUUUAUGGUGCUAAGCAUUCUGUUAGCCUCCUUUGUCAGUCCAAUGGCACGCCACGCUUCUGCAACUAGCAGCAUGGUGGAUCUCUCAGGCUCUACCUUAAAUGCUGGCAUAAUCUGGAGAAUUUCUUCUGCUUUCCAUGGCUGCUUGGCUUCACUAAAUCCCCAAAUUAAUGUCUCAAAAGUCUUCAAAUUAGGAGAAAUUCCAUAUUCACACAUUUUGUCAAAAACUCUAAUUGCAUCCUCCAUUCUGCCAGCACUGCACCAUCCACUAGUCACAGUUGUGAAAAUCACAACAUUUGGGUGGAAUCCUGAUUUAAUCAUGGUUGUUAGGAGUUCUUCGGCUUUCUCAGGUUCUUGGGCACGUACAUAACCUUUAGCAAGGAUGCUGUAUGCAUGUGCAUCAGGUUCUAUACCAGCCUUCACCAUGUCAUCAAAGAUUUCCCUGCACUUUUCCAUAUAUCCUGCUGUGCUCCAUGCGUUCAUGAUUGUACUAAAUGUUAUGACAUCUGGUUUGACAUUGAAUUCUCCCAUCAACUUGAGAACCUCAUCAACCCCAUCUCUAUCCAUAAUAUCCACAAAGCCUUUGAUCAGUGAAUUAAGAACAACAAGAUUAGGAUGCACCCCAAGUUCCUUCAUCCUGUACACAAAUCUCAAUGCCCCCUUUAUUCUUCCUUCUUUACAAUAUCCACUUAUAAUUAUCCCACAAGUUCGCUCAUUCGGCUGCAAACCAUUAUUUUGCAUUUCUGAGAUCAUCUCUUCAGCCAGAUUUGUCUCUCCUUUCUGAGCAUAAGCUGUGGCUAAGGUGUUGUAAGUAACCGCAUCAGGUUGCAUCCCAGAAGCUACCAUCUUAUGCACAACAUUCCAUGCCUCUGCAAUGUUCUUCUUGUUACACCACACUCUGACAAGAACAUUAUAAGUCCUGAGAUUGGGUUUGACAUCCCCUUCUUGGGACAUAAGGUCUAGCAGUUUCACAGAUUCUUCAGGUUUACCAGCAAUGCCAUACCCUUUGAUUAAAGUGUUGUAAGUGCUAGUGGUAGGUUUAAUUCCAAUCUCCUUCAUCUUCCAAAAGGUUCCCAUGGCUUCCUCCAUGUUCCCAGAUUCAGAGAAUGCAUUUAUAACAGCAUUAAGAAAUAUUGAAUCAGGCUUCAUUCCAUUUUCUUCCACAUGUGAGAUGAUCGAAUGUAUGGAGUUGAAACGCUUCUGCAUGGUCAAGGCAGCCAAGAGUGUCGUGUAUGUUAUUAGAGAUGGACUGUGCCCUCCAUCUAUUAAACUAUCAAAAAUGGAUUCUGCUUCCUGGGGCUUUCCUUUUUCUACCAGAAUAUUCAUUAGUUUUGACCUUGAUCGCACAGUUCUGCAACCAUCUUUGGUCAUGCAGAACAUACAACUGCCCACAUUUUGAUACUCCCUAGACUUUGAAGUUGGAGAAAAUUUGUUCUUAUAAUCUGGAUUAUUAUCCUAAGAAAGAAAAGAAAAAACAAUUAUCAUUUUUGAACAAAUCCAAACUCUUCCAUAGUUUCUUAUUAACUGCUCUUACAAAAACUAUUGAUCAGUAGGACAAUACAAAUUAGGAUCACAUGCAGUGACUCACUAAUACAUCUAAAUUUGAACUUCAAUUAUAGAAAAACCAUAGGAUAUUAGGUAUCAUCUCUUGUCUAACUUUUCCAUUUCAGGCAGAUUAAAAGAGCAAAUUGUAAAUUGUUAGACAUCUGUUUAUGACAUACACCUAUAAAGUGGUCUUAAUAAAUGCUAUCGAAUUAUUUUCUUAAUAUUUUAUGGCAACAUGAUUAACUAGCAUUUGAUGAAAAAUUUGACAUUUAAGCAACAACCUAAGCAAUCACAAAUCUAAUCUAAAUCAUUUUAUAAAUAUUUUAUAAAUAAAAUGGUUUCUAUUUCUAUAGCUCCUUAAUAAAACUAAUUGUGUUAUUUUCCCAUACACAUAUGGUACCAUCUUUUCACAUCUCUCCAGCUGUCCAUCUCACCAUCUGUGGUGUAGGUAAUAAUGCGGUCACAUAUUUCUUAGUUGCUAACUUGUCAUUGAAAAGUAGUAUGGAUCUUUUUAUUUUUUUUCCCCCAAUUUUAAGAUCCAUUAAUUUCAUAAUAAUUCUCUAGAUAUAGCAUGUGAUGAUUACAUAAAACCAAAGUACAUCUUUACAUUCCCAGCAAGUAAAAGGAAGACAGAAUGUCAAAAGUGGAAAUAAUCCAAUGAAGAGAAAGAUAUCAUUCAAUAAUGAGGAAUAAGUGUAUCUUAAUUAGAAAUUCUUUUUAUGUAACUGAAUUCCACUAGGUUCUAUAUUAGAAUUAUGGUCAGUACUAGAGGCUUUGCCAGUAGUAGGGGAAUAAGGUUACAAACUUUGAUCCAUGUUGAGGAUUCCUCACUACCUAAACGUAUAGGCAAAAUGACAAUGAGAAAAUAAAAAUUGAUUUCUUGAGUCAAAGGUCUUACCCAGUAAAGCUAUACCCACAAGUAUAUGAUGGAUGUAAGAUAAACAUAUCAGUAUAUAGUUAGAUGUACCUUGAUUGGUGAUGUUUGCACCCAUCCUUUCUUGAUAGCGGUUGUUUCCACUUCAUUCUUGCUGGAGGUUCUGGACACAGCCUUCUCGUCUCCAAAUUCUCCCAUAUGGUCCACACGUGCUUGUCAACCUGAAAGUUUUGAAUUUUAUUUUAGACCAACUGCAAACAAAACUUAUAGCUUAAGUUUUUGUUGACUUUCAUAAUUCUCCUCGUAGCUUUUGAGUUCAGCACUAGCAGAUAGUGUAAAUGAGAGAGAGAGAGGGAUGAACUUUGAAUUUGAGAUGGAGAAAGGAAAAAUAAAGGUACAGAACAGUGAAUGGAAUCCUGAUAAACAUAUUGUCCACAAAGUAUUUGCAUUUGAGAACAGCCGAUAAGGAAG
Molecule: unclassified non-coding RNA, 5921 nt
Filed under: Hevea brasiliensis (rubber tree)
Lineage: Eukaryota; Viridiplantae; Streptophyta; Magnoliopsida; Malpighiales; Euphorbiaceae
Source: RNAcentral